RNAcentral lists this ribosomal RNA (484 nucleotides) under uncultured bacterium. Its description in RNAcentral is "partial 16S ribosomal RNA". It matches the Rfam family "Bacterial small subunit ribosomal RNA", at positions 29 to 507 of the family's 1533-position model. The record is from RNAcentral.
AUUGAACGCUGGCGGCAUGCUUUACACAUGCAAGUCGAACGGCAGCGCGGGCUUCGGCCUGGCGUCGAGUGGCGAACGGGUGAGUAAUGCAUCGGAACGUGCCCAGUAGUGGGGGAUAGCCCGGCGAAAGCCGGAUUAAUACCGCAUACGACCUGAGGGUGAAAGCGGGGGACCGACAGGCCUCGCGCUAUUGGAGCGGCCGAUGUCGGAUUAGCUAGUUGGUGGGGUAAAGGCUUACCAAGGCGACGAUCCGUAGCUGGUCUGAGAGGAUGACCAGCCACACUGGAACUGAGACACGGCCCAGACUCCUACGGGAGGCAGCAGUGGGGAAUUUUGGACAAUGGGCGCAAGCCUGAUCCAGCCAUGCCGCGUGCGGGAAGAAGGCCUUCGGGUUGUAAACCGCUUUUGUUCGGGAAGAAAUGCACUAGGCUAAUACCCCGGGGGGAUGACGGUACCGGAAGAAUAAGCACCGGCUAACUACGUG